Ictidomys tridecemlineatus (thirteen-lined ground squirrel) is the source of this 624-nucleotide non-coding RNA. Lineage: Eukaryota; Metazoa; Chordata; Mammalia; Rodentia; Sciuridae. The record is from RefSeq and is a predicted model, not a curated record.
UUGACCAAAGUACUUAUCCCUUGCUUUGAGAGUUUCUGCUUGCUUUGUGUUUCUCCUCUGGCCUUGGACACGAGGGAGGAGAUGAGUAAAUCUUUCUUCAUAUUCUGAGAGCCUUGACAACACCUAGGGCCUUUGACUGACAAUGUUCAAAUUGUACCAGAAACAUUGGUUGCGAAAGAGGCUCAUGAUUAUCCAUCAUAAGUCCUGCUCUGUCAACCGGCUUCAUAAGGUGGUUAAGAAAAUCAAAUGAGGUAAUGAAUAUAAAAUGACCUGCUUCAUGCUUGAAACCACCCGAACAGGAGGAGCCAGUCCAGGGUCACAAAGACCCAAAUGCAAAGUUAAACCUUCAGUUUGGUCCAGGGGCAUGUGUGCUGCCCGCCCCAAGCUCCGUGAAAUGUAAUUAACUCUUCUCUUCAGGAACAAAACAAAGCAAUAACAAACAAAAAACAAAACUAAUUAGAAAACUGAAAGAUCUCCUAACCACAGGCUUCAAGAAACUAAUUAUCGAAAGAAAAGAAAACAUUAUAUGAAUGUUAACAAUAUCCAUUUAAACAAGGUAUUUUUUAAAGUGACAUCCACAGCGAUUAUACCAAUUAAACUGAUGUCAGAUUUCCUUCUGAAUUA